GGUAGAUGUGGUAAGCAACUGAAGAAAAAGAAGGGGGAGACACAAAGACAGAGAGGACGCGGUGUUGUAAUGUUGUCAGCUGUCAUUAUUUUAAUCUGGUGAGUCUGAAGGGUUUAAUCAACCACCCAUAUGGAAAGGCUAGCUAUGGGUGUGUUUGCUGUAAAGCAAGCAUGCAAAUCUGCAAAGGAGCAUGCUUUGAAAAAUGGACCCAUUAUGCCUGGAAAUGGAGUGGGAAACAAAAGCAAAAGCAGAAAGAAAAGCAGAAAGUAAAAGCAGAAAGCAAAAGCAGAAAGCAAAAGAAGAUAAAUAGAAGCAGACAUAAUUGCGGUGGUGAUAGCAUGCAGAAAAAAGAAUUAUGGGCGUGACCCAUUGAACUGAGGGUCGGAUUUAUUUUUGAAUGAUGUGAUUUAUUUUUCUUAUCUUUCGGAGACAUCUGUAUAAACCCCAUCAGAGGGUAAUAAAAAAAAAAUACGGCAAGCCCAAAAUAAUAGGCUGGAAUGUUAUGUAGAGGGCCAAUGCCCAUAUGCCCAAAAAAGCCAGACCCUCUAUUAUCACCAACCAGGUGAUUAAAAGUAUGCCCAGUACUCCAAAAUUAUUCGGCACCCUGCUGCUAUUAUCACAAACCAGGUGAUCAAAAGUACGUCCAGUACUCCAAAAUUAUUCGGCAGCCUGUCGCUAUUAUCACCAACCAGGUGAUCAAAAGUACGUUUAGUACUCCAAAAUUAUUCGGCAACCUGCCGCUAUUAUCACCCACUAGGUGAUCAAAAGUAUGUCCAGUACUCCAAAAUUAUACAUAAGCAUCACACAUGUCAAUCAUACAUAAACCUUCAUAAGCAUCACUCAUGUCAACAUUCAUGAGCAUCACUCAUGUCAACAUCCAUGAGCAUCACUCAUGUCAAUCAACAUAAACAUUCAUGAGCAUCACUCAUGUCAAUCAGCUUCGAAAGCUUCAUUUACAGAGCUCCAGCUCCGAGAGCCUCAGCUUCAAAAACUUCAUUUACAAAAGCUCCAGCUUCAAAGCUUCACUUGCAAAGUUGCACCUACAAA
This 1047-nucleotide long non-coding RNA is filed under the name Malus domestica (apple). RNAcentral describes it as "long non-coding RNA (MDOM_LNC010743)". The record is from RNAcentral. Lineage: Eukaryota; Viridiplantae; Streptophyta; Magnoliopsida; Rosales; Rosaceae.